UGUAAGCGUAUACCAAAGUUGUUGCAGUUAAAACGCUCGUAGUCGGAAUUUGGCAGUUCCGGAUGUGUGCACGUCGUGUGCGCACUUCGCGGGGAUUGCUUUUGUGGUCUUGCGUAGGAUGAGGCACUUUUAUUAGUGAACGUCCUCACGCAACCACUUUUUACUGUGAGAAAAUCAGAGUGCUCAAAGCAGGCAUUUGCCGUGAAUGUAUUAGCAUGGAAUAAUAGAAUAGGACUUGGUUCUAUUUUGUUGGUUUGUUGGGACUGAGUAAUGAUUAAGAGGGACAGUUGGGGGCAUUUGUAUUUCGGUGCUAGAGGUGAAAUUCUUAGAUUACCGAAAGACAAACUGCAGCGAAAGCGUCUGCCAAGGAUGUUUUCAUUGA
RNAcentral lists this ribosomal RNA (382 nucleotides) under uncultured eukaryote. RNAcentral's name for it is "partial 18S ribosomal RNA". It matches the Rfam family "Eukaryotic small subunit ribosomal RNA", at positions 592 to 976 of the family's 1831-position model. The record is from RNAcentral.